GACGAACGCUGGCGGCGUGCUUAACACAUGCAAGUCGAACGGAAAGGCCCUGCUUUUGUGGGGUGCUCGAGUGGCGAACGGGUGAGUAACACGUGAGUAACCUGCCCUUGACUUUGGGAUGACUUCAGGAAACUGGGGCUAAUACCGGAUAGGAGCUCCUGCUGCAUGGUGGGGGUUGGAAAGUUUCGGCGGUUGGGGAUGGACUCGCGGCUUAUCAGCUUGUUGGUGGGGUAGUGGCUUACCAAGGCUUUGACGGGUAGCCGGCCUGAGAGGGUGACCGGCCACAUUGGGACUGAGAUACGGCCCAGACUCCUACGGGAGGCAGCAGUGGGGAAUAUUGCACAAUGGGCGGAAGCCUGAUGCAGCAACGCCGCGUGCGGGAUGACGGCCUUCGGGUUGUAAACCGCUUUCGCCUGUGACGAAGCGUGAGUGACGGUAAUGGGUAAAGAAGCACCGGCUAACUACGUGCCAGCAGCCGCGGUGAUACGUAGGGUGCGAGCGUUGUCCGGAUUUAUUGGGCGUAAAGGGCUCGUAGGUGGUUGAUCGCGUCGGAAGUGUAAUCUUGGGGCUUAACCCUGAGCGUGCUUUCGAUACGGGUUGACUUGAGGAAGGUAGGGGAGAAUGGAAUUCCUGGUGGAGCGGUGGAAUGCGCAGAUAUCAGGAGGAACACCAGUGGCGAAGGCGGUUCUCUGGGCCUUUCCUGACGCUGAGGAGCGAAAGCGUGGGGAGCGAACAGGCUUAGAUACCCUGGUAGUCCACGCUGUAAACGGUGGGUACUAGGUGUGGGGUCCAUUCCACGGGUUCCGUGCCGUAGCUAACGCUUUAAGUACCCCGCCUGGGGAGUACGGCCGCAAGGCUAAAACUCAAAGGAAUUGACGGGGCCCCGCACAAGCGGCGGAGCAUGCGGAUUAAUUCGAUGCAACGCGUAGAGCCUUACCUGGGUUUGACAUGGAUCGGGAGUGCUCAGAGAUGGGUGUGCCUCUUUUGGGGUCGGUUCACAGGUGGUGCAUGGCUGUCGUCAGCUCGUGUCGUGAGAUGUUGGGUUAAGUCCCGCAACGAGCGCAACCCUUGUUCACUGUUGCCAGCACGUUAUGGUGGGGACUCAGUGGAGACCGCCGGGGUCAACUCGGAGGAAGGUGGGGAUGACGUCAAGUCAUCAUGCCCCUUAUGUCCAGGGCUUCACGCAUGCUACAAUGGCUGGUACAGAGAGUGGCGAGCCUGUGAGGGUGAGCGAAUCUCGGAAAGCCGGUCUCAGUUCGGAUUGGGGUCUGCAACUCGACCUCAUGAAGUCGGAGUCGCUAGUAAUCGCAGAUCAGCAACGCUGCGGUGAAUACGUUCCCGGGGCU
RNAcentral lists this ribosomal RNA (1346 nucleotides) under uncultured bacterium. RNAcentral's name for it is "partial 16S ribosomal RNA". It matches the Rfam family "Bacterial small subunit ribosomal RNA", at positions 28 to 1381 of the family's 1533-position model. The record is from RNAcentral.